GGAGAGGUGGCCGAGCGGCUUAAGGCAACGGUUUGCUAAACCGUCGUACGGAGUAAAUCCGUACCCCGGGUUCGAAUCCCGGCCUCUCCG
Molecule: transfer RNA, 90 nt
Filed under: Phycisphaerae bacterium
Lineage: Bacteria; Pseudomonadati; Planctomycetota; Phycisphaerae
Also listed under: 1 other name
Description: tRNA-Ser
Rfam family: tRNA
About the family: Transfer RNA (tRNA) molecules are approximately 80 nucleotides in length. Their secondary structure includes four short double-helical elements and three loops (D, anti-codon, and T loops).
Source: RNAcentral